Molecule: ribosomal RNA, 328 nt
Filed under: uncultured eukaryote
Lineage: Eukaryota
Description: partial 18S ribosomal RNA
Rfam family: Eukaryotic small subunit ribosomal RNA
Source: RNAcentral
CCCUUAGAUGUUCUGGGCUGCACGCGCGCUACACUGAUGCGCUCAACGAGUUUGCAUCCUUGCCUGGCAAGGUCGGGUAAUCUGUUCAAAAUGCAUCGUGAUGGGGAUAGAUUAUUGCAAUUAUUAAUCUUCAACGAGGAAUUCCUAGUAAGCGCGAGUCAUCAGCUCGUGCUGAUUACGUCCCUGCCCUUUGUACACACCGCCCGUCGCUCCUACCGAUUGAGUGGUCCGGUGAGGCUUUGGGAUCUGAGCGGAAAGAGCGUUUCGCUGUUUCUGCUCGGAAAACUCAGUCGAACCUUAUCAUUUAGAGGAAGGAGAAGUCGUAACA